RNAcentral lists this ribosomal RNA (592 nucleotides) under Clostridioides difficile. RNAcentral's name for it is "partial 23S ribosomal RNA". It matches the Rfam family "Bacterial large subunit ribosomal RNA", at positions 2208 to 2798 of the family's 2925-position model. Lineage: Bacteria; Bacillati; Bacillota; Clostridia; Peptostreptococcales; Peptostreptococcaceae. The record is from RNAcentral.
GUAGUACUGGGACUCUAACCAUAGGCCAUGAAUCUGGUCUUGGGACACUGUCAGGUGGGCAGUUUGACUGGGGCGGUCGCCUCCCAAAAGGUAACGGAGGCGCUCAAAGGUUCUCUCAGUACGGUCGGAAAUCGUACGUAGAGUGUAAAGGCAAAAGAGAGCUUGAUUGCAAGACAUACAGGUCGAGCAAGGAUGAAAAUCGGACUUAGUGAUCCGGUGGUUCUGCGUGGAAGGGCCAUCGCUCAACGGAUAAAAGCUACCCUGGGGAUAACAGGCUUAUCUCCCCCAAGAGUCCACAUCGACGGGGAGGUUUGGCACCUCGAUGUCGGCUCAUCACAUCCUGGGGCUGUAGUAGGUCCCAAGGGUUGGGCUGUUCGCCCAUUAAAGUGGUACGCGAGCUGGGUUCAGAACGUCGUGAGACAGUUCGGUCCCUAUCCGUCGCAGGCGUAGGAAAUUUGAGAAGACCUGUCCUUAGUACGAGAGGACCGGGAUGGACGUACCUCUGGUGUACCAGUUGUUCUGCCAAGGGCAUGGCUGGGUAGCUAUGUACGGAAUGGAUAAGCGCUGAAAGCAUCUAAGCGCGAAGCCAACU